UACGGAGGAUGCAAGCGUUAUCCGGAUUUAUUGGGUUUAAAGGGUGCGCAGGUUGGUUGAUAAGUCAGUGGUGAAAGUCUGUCGCUUAACGGUAGGAUUGCCAUUGAUACUGUUAGACUUGAAUAUGGAUGAGGUAGGCGGAAUGUGUAGUGUAGCGGUGAAAUGCAUAGAUAUUACACAGAACACCGAUUGCGAAGGCAGCUUACUAAUCCAUCAUUGACGCUGAGGCACGAAAGCGUGGGGAUCAAACA
This 251-nucleotide ribosomal RNA is filed under the name uncultured prokaryote. Its description in RNAcentral is "partial 16S ribosomal RNA". It matches the Rfam family "Bacterial small subunit ribosomal RNA", at positions 524 to 774 of the family's 1533-position model. The record is from RNAcentral.